This is a long non-coding RNA of Poecilia latipinna (sailfin molly), 692 nucleotides long. RefSeq lists it as uncharacterized. The record is from RefSeq and is a predicted model, not a curated record. NCBI's taxonomy places the organism in Eukaryota, Metazoa, Chordata, Actinopteri, Cyprinodontiformes, Poeciliidae. The transcript is spliced from 2 exons.
CCACAGGUUUGCUGAGCAUGGUCUCUGUUCCUGGCAUGGAUUGGCUAGGGCCAAACACCAUUUACUCAGUGCCGGCUGCCAUUAGGAACUGCUUGACGUCCUGCCCGGUCUCGGCUAGUCCCAGAGACAGUCCUCUCUUCACAUUGCCGCCGCUGGUUCCCUCACAGGUUAUGGCUUCGGACUCGGACUACGGCUGCUGGUCUUUGAUCCUCUGCAGCCUCUAUUGGAGAUGUGAGGAUGACCUGGAUGAAGUUCUUCCUCAUCUCCAUGCCCAUCACCGACAGCCGAGUCUUCACCAGAUCACCAGCUCACUGGUCGCUGGACUAGGCUCUGUGACCCCUGGUUGGCCUGCUGGGAACUCAAGUGUUCCUGAACCACAUUCUGCAGUGAUCGCAUGCAGACAGAGAUGAGGUGGUCCAUGUAGCUAGCGUUGUAGCUGCAGGCCGACGUCAGGAUAAUCAGAGCUCCAAACAGCUGGUGGCUGGGGAGACUCCAACUCUCCUUGUACUUGGAGGCAAUGCUGAACGGCUCAGUGGGGAGAUGAUCAUGAGGCGGGACAGCAGGCAGUGAACGGAUCGCAGCCCUCAGUGUUACAACCCUCUGGACACGUCCCAUAAAACUAAGCUAAUGUGUUUAGGUGACCAAACAUUCCCAAAAAUAUGAAAUGGUUAAUAAAAAUGAGUAAAACAUUU